UGGGGAAUUUUCCGCAAUGGGCGAAAGCCUGACGGAGCAAUACCGCGUGAGGGAGGAAGGCUCUUGGGUUGUAAACCUCUUUUCUCAGGGAAGAACAAAAUGACGGUACCUGAGGAA
RNAcentral lists this ribosomal RNA (117 nucleotides) under uncultured bacterium. RNAcentral describes it as "partial 16S ribosomal RNA". It matches the Rfam family "Bacterial small subunit ribosomal RNA", at positions 355 to 486 of the family's 1533-position model. The record is from RNAcentral.